UCGCCUGAGCUAAAGUCAGAGGCUUAACUGACUGAGCAACCCAGUGCCCCAAAAGUUUUGUUUAAAACUAGGUAGGAACUUUUAAAUAAACCAAGAUUCUGUGGCAAAAGGUAAUUGGGCCCCUUCCUGGACUGCUUAUUUAAGUCUAUCAAGUGUUUUAUAAGAAAUGCUAUUUUUCCCCCCAGAAGGAGCAGCUGCUAAUCGUAUCAGGCCACCAGGUUCUGCUCAGCAACAUUCUUCUUAAGAAGUACCAAGGGGGGAAAAUGUGGUGGAGUGGAAAGGGGACUGGCCUGUGUCCCCAGGACUGCUACAUGCAUGUAGUUGAGAGACAUGGAUUUGAAUGCUGCCUUGAAUGCUUAUUACCAUUAUGACCUCAAACAAGUCAUUUAGCCUGUUGGAACCUCAACAUUUCAUCAACAAAAUGGGGAUAUUACCCAUGACAUCUGAGCAGAGGACUGAACGACGAGGGGCCAGUCCUAUGAAGCUCUGGGAAGAUCUAAGGUCCCCAGGUCCCACAAACUGAUAGAGGAAAGGAGUCGGGGAGGCGCAGCUAAUGAUAAAAAAGAUAACGGAAUAGCUGUUGCUCCAUUAGGAAAGCUAGAAUCUUCCUGCUGUAUCCACUAUAUCCCAGACUUUUUGGUCUCAUCCCCUCCCUGUGGUCCUGGCCAUGUCUCUUCCACAUUGCUGUUCCUAUGACCUGAGUCAGCCAUGAUGGUCACUCUGUGUGUGAUGCUGUCCCCUCUCCUUCACUUGGUACCAAGCUAGGCCCCAUUAUUCCAUCAGCCUCACACCAUCUAGGCUGUGCCUCUACCCUUCAUCACUUUGCUGAAGUGGGACCAUCUCCCACCCAGGUUGUACCUUUUAAAAGUUAUUUGCCCUCCCCUCAUUUUCUUAAUCUCUGAUAUAACCUAUUGCACGAUGACUCAUGUUUUCCGGCUCCUUAAUACAUCCCCUCCCCAGCCUCCUUGCCUAGAAGAACCUGCCCUGAGAUUAGGUUGGGAGCCAGAGAAAUCUGGUCCAAUCCUUCCCUCUCCUUAGUCAGGGGCCCCAGAUGGAAGGGUGCACAACCACUCUCUUGUCUGGGAGACCGAGCUGUGAUUUUGUUCUAUAAUUUAUUCUAGUGUCUCUCUCCUGGGUGGCUUGUUAGCCUUCAUCUCACCAGUCAUUCCCUUUCCAGGAAGGCCUGUCUGCAGCAACCAGAACUGGAAGCCUGGUGGCCCGCUUGACAUGCCCUGUGCUUGGGUAGACAAGCAGAAGCAACCCUGCUUGGGCUGUCAUCAGUCCACCGUGUCCUCUUCUAAGCCUCUCCAUUAACUUCUUGGACAGGAGCUGAGGACCAGUCAACUUUGUACACUCUGUGCACUCUGAAGCAGCUCUUAACAUAGGAUGGUAAGAGCUCCAUAAACUUUUGCAGAAGGAAUUACUGAAAUCUAUUGAAUUUUGUGCUCUGCUUUUCUUUCUUAACAUUAUUGCAGCAAACAAUCAAAUAAAGAUGAUUAGUCCCACUUUGUUCUAUACUAAGUAUAUCACACUUAUUCUAAUUCCAUGACUUAUUUGAGUUUUAAAACAUUGAGAUAUAAUUCAUAUACUGUAAAAUUCACCCCUUUAAAGUUUACAGUUUAGUGGUUUGUUUUUUUUUUAAUGUUUAUUCAUUUAUUUUUAAGGGGGGAGA
Lynx canadensis (Canada lynx) is the source of this 1672-nucleotide RNA transcript. RefSeq lists it as uncharacterized. The transcript has 4 exons. Lineage: Eukaryota; Metazoa; Chordata; Mammalia; Carnivora; Felidae. The record is from RefSeq and is a predicted model, not a curated record.